RNAcentral lists this ribosomal RNA (497 nucleotides) under uncultured bacterium. RNAcentral describes it as "partial 16S ribosomal RNA". It matches the Rfam family "Bacterial small subunit ribosomal RNA", at positions 28 to 507 of the family's 1533-position model. The record is from RNAcentral.
GAUGAACGCUGGCGGCGUGCCUAAUACAUGCAAGUCGAGCGAACGGAUGAGGAGCUUGCUCCUCUGACGUUAGCGGCGGACGGGUGAGUAACACGUGGAUAACCUACCUAUAAGACUGGGAUAACUUCGGGAAACCGGAGCUAAUACCGGAUAAUAUAUUGAACCGCAUGGUUCAAUAGUGAAAGACGGUUUUGCGUUCACUUAUAGAUGGAUCCGCGCCGCAUUAGCUAGUUGGUAAGGUAACGGCUUACCCAGGCAACGAUGCGUAGCCGACCUGAGAGGGUGAUCGGCCACACUGGAACUGAGAAACGGCCCAGACUCCUACGGGAGGCCGCAGUAGGGAAUCUUCCGCAAUGGGCGAAAGCCUGACGGAGCAACGCCGCGUGAGUGAUGAAGGUCUUCGGAUCGUAAAACUCUGUUAUUAGGGAAGAACAAAUGUGUAAGUAACUAUGCACGUCUUGACGGUACCUAAUCAGAAAGCCACGGCUAACUACGUG